Molecule: long non-coding RNA, 2116 nt
Organism: Herpailurus yagouaroundi (jaguarundi)
Lineage: Eukaryota; Metazoa; Chordata; Mammalia; Carnivora; Felidae
Exons: 4
Source: RefSeq, a predicted model, not a curated record
CAUUAUGCAAGGGCAUGACCUACCCAGUAUCCCUACAUCUCAGUUCCUUUACCUCCUGAUUCCUGAUUAUCUCCAUUCCUCCACAGCCACCCUUGGUUACACCCUGCACUUGCUACCGCCAAACAUUCAUCACCUCACAAAUCACAGUUUCAAACAUCCCAUUUCUUAUUCAUGAUCUCACCCCUCCAGCUUUCUCGCUUGGCCUUAUUGAGCUUUUAGAUCCAUGGAUCCUUGCGCCUUGGUUUUUUGGGGUGUUUUGUUUUGUUUUUGUUUGUACUUUUGCCCUCCCUUCCCCCAUACCAGCUUAGAUUCCUGGGCUCAUCAUUAUAAUUACCCUGUUGCAAAUAUGCUAGGUUUACUCAACCUCUUCUUUCAUAGAAUCUACUUAUAGGCCCCCAGUCCUGGAUGAACUUCACCAUCCAUCUCCCCUGUGUCGAUGCCUGAGCAACUGAGUAUUGUCACAAAAGUCAAAAAACCAAUUCAGAUGGUCCUCAGUUGUAUAUUUUGUUGGAUUUCAAGGAGGAAGAGGUGAAAAGUUCUAUACUGACCUCUCACAGGUGAGGAUGUGGCUGAGCCAAUGACUGAAGAUAUCUGAAGGAAGAUACUAACCAGAUGAACAGGUAUCUCUGAAGCGUCUCAGUGGGAGCAAGAAAAAUGGCCACAGCAAGGUUGGCUGAAGGGGUGGAGAGACUGAACACUGUCAGGCUUAAGGGCUGUCAAACAGUGUACUUGGAACAAAGUGCAAAGUGAGUGAGGAGACUUCUCUACCGAACCCUACUUAACUGGUGCCUGUAAAUACUUGGACUAAAACGGACACAUUCUAAGGCAUGAAGAAACUUUAGCCACUAUUAGUUUGUAGGUACAUAAGAGAUUCAGCUCACAGGUCAAGAAAGUGUUUCACCAUAUGAUGUCUUUUGUAUGGUAAGCUAUUUAAAGUAUAGAAUACAAGCAAUACAAUUAUAAGGAAAAUUUUCUGACUUUUAUUAUAGCAUUUUGCCCCAUGCUCUUCGACAUAUUUAUACACUUUUUAAUGUUGUCAUUUCAUAUAAAAAUUUUGUUAUGCCGCCAAGCAGAUUAGGAGCGCCUUGAGGGAAGGGAUUCUAUCCUAUGCAACCAAUGUGGAAUUCUGGGUGUUUGGUAAGUGCUCAUCAAAUACUUCAUGGAACAUUGAAUAUUGUGGACCUUGUACUUCAUGCUUCUAACUCCAGGUCCAAGAUAGGGCUGGCUUCUGUGGAAAGUACCACCCCUGUACCUUAUGUCAGACUAUGACAAAAUAUCCCUGGGAAGCCCCCAGAAGUUUGUCUGGUUGCUUUCUGUUGUUGCCAUCACUUGAGUGACAUGUGGGUCUCCAGAGAGAGAGUUUGCCUUCUCCUUUUCUCACAGAGCAACAUGCUCACUGUUGGCUGAAGGAUACGUAUGUUUUAUGGAGGGCAGAUUAAGUUACACAUAGGCAUUGUCUUCACUACUCACAGCACCAGGCACUGCUUUGGGACAACAAGCAGUCUCCUGACUGCCACCACGGGUGGGGUCCUUCGUAGCUCAAAGCUUUGACUCCCAACCUGUCCUAAUAAUCUGUCUUGCUUGUGCCAUUUGGUGUUGAGAUCCCUGAUUUCUGAAGGCAUAAAGUAACUUUUGCCCAGGAUUUGACUUUCUCUCCUUCUAACCACUAGAGCCCACACCAGCCAAUCUCCUGAAGCGCUAUUGUGUCAGGCUUGAAAUGGAGGCUCAAUAUUAUUUGCUGCUUCAGCAUGUUAUAAAGUCCAGAGGCUCCCCGGUGGCCUAACUGCAAGUUCCCAUCCCUUGUCUCUUCAUGCGGAUGUCUCUUAGCCAAACAGCCCUCCUCAUCAUGGGGACCAGGCACACCACCUGUUUAUCAUUCAUCGUGUGUAGGAUUCAGUUCCCUGUCAGCCCACAGAAUUACUCAAACAAGCCAAUCACAUCCUUCUUGGGAGCCAGGGGGCACCUCACUGUCUUGAUACUACAAAGUUUGCUUCCCACAGCCCCCACUUGUUCACCCUGACCUCAAGUGCAACCCUCAUGUGACUCUGUGUGGCAUGGAGUGUCCUCCUCCCCCAAGCUAAGUAUAUAUGACCAAUAAACUGCUGUUGAUCUCGUC